CUAAAGUAUCUCUCUCAUAUCUGUAUUUGUAUAAAUAUCAAUCAUUCAUUUCAUUCUUACCUUUAACUCCAUUUCAGGUCCAUUGCAUUGAUGGCUACGUUUUCUAUAUAUAUAGUGAUGGACGUGAAAAGUGAGUCAAAAUACGAAGGAUUACCUUACACACUAAGCAAAUUUUUACUGCCAUUUACUGAAUUCUAUGAAGGGCUUAUCUCAUUUUUCUUCACUCACCAAAUGGCGCCCACAAAGAUUUCAUUUUUUCUCUUGGAGUUGUACAAGUAACCAUUCUUUGCUUUUACAGGACCUUUCGAUCUUUUUCAAUUGUCCUAUUCUUGUUUGAUUGGGAUUU
This 346-nucleotide long non-coding RNA is filed under the name Olea europaea subsp. europaea. The record is from RNAcentral. Lineage: Eukaryota; Viridiplantae; Streptophyta; Magnoliopsida; Lamiales; Oleaceae.